GCUGUGCUCACUUUGGCAGCGGGUAAAUUAGAACAAUAACAGAGAAGAUUAGCAUGGCCCCUGCGUAAGGAUGACACACAAAUUCAUGAAGUGUUCCAUGUUUGU
Otolemur garnettii (small-eared galago) is the source of this 105-nucleotide non-coding RNA. Lineage: Eukaryota; Metazoa; Chordata; Mammalia; Primates; Galagidae. The record is from Rfam.